AAGUCGUAACAAGGUCUCCGUAGGUGAACCUGCGGAGGGAUCAUUACCGAGUUGUCGAAAGACAAUCUCCCGUUCUUGAUGUGUGACUAUUGUUGCCUUGCCUUCGGGCAGGAUAAAUUCUGAAUCAGUGUUGUCUGAGAACUUUUUAAUCAAUUAAAACUUUCAACAACGGAUCUCUUGGUUCUG
RNAcentral lists this unclassified non-coding RNA (186 nucleotides) under air metagenome. Its description in RNAcentral is "partial contains small subunit ribosomal RNA, internal transcribed spacer 1, and 5.8S ribosomal RNA". The stretch from base 1 to 46 matches the Rfam family "Eukaryotic small subunit ribosomal RNA", at positions 1786 to 1831 of the family's 1831-position model. The record is from RNAcentral.